RNAcentral lists this ribosomal RNA (500 nucleotides) under Termitomyces sp. DKA-2007. RNAcentral describes it as "eukaryotic LSU rRNA". It matches the Rfam family "Eukaryotic large subunit ribosomal RNA", at positions 71 to 570 of the family's 3401-position model. The record is from RNAcentral. Lineage: Eukaryota; Fungi; Basidiomycota; Agaricomycetes; Agaricales; Lyophyllaceae.
AGGAUUCCCCUAGUAACUGCGAGUGAAGCGGGAAAAGCUCAAAUUUAAAAUCUGGUAGUCUUUGGCUGCCCGAGUUGUAAUCUAGAGAAGCAUUAUCUGCUCUGGACUGUGUAUAAGUAUCCUGGAAUGGAUCAUCAUAGAGGGUGAGAAUCCCGUCUUUGACACGGACUCCCAGGGCUUUGUGAUGUGCUCUCAAAGAGUCGAGUUGUUUGGGAAUGCAGCUCUAAAUGGGUGGUAAAUUCCAUCUAAAGCUAAAUAUUGGCGAGAGACCGAUAGCGAACAAGUACCGUGAGGGAAAGAUGAAAAGAACUUUGGAAAGAGAGUUAAACAGUACGUGAAAUUGCUGAAAGGGAAACGCUUGAAGUCAGUCGCGUUGGCUGGGGAUCAACCUUGCUUUUUGCUUGGCUUACUUCCCAGUUGACGGGUCAGCAUCAGUUUUGACCGGUGGAUAAAGGCUAGGGGAAUGUGGCACCUCCGGGUGUGUUAUAGCCCUUGGUCAU